GGUUGCGUGGUCUAGUGGUAUGAUUCUCGCUUAGGGUGCGAGAGGUCCCGGGUUCAAUCCCCGGCGCGACCC
This 72-nucleotide transfer RNA is filed under the name Ustilaginoidea virens. RNAcentral describes it as "tRNA-Pro (AGG) (tRNA-Pro-AGG-2-1)". It matches the Rfam family "tRNA". Rfam says of the family: Transfer RNA (tRNA) molecules are approximately 80 nucleotides in length. The record is from RNAcentral. Lineage: Eukaryota; Fungi; Ascomycota; Sordariomycetes; Hypocreales; Clavicipitaceae.